Molecule: ribosomal RNA, 253 nt
Filed under: uncultured bacterium
Lineage: Bacteria
Description: partial 16S ribosomal RNA
Rfam family: Bacterial small subunit ribosomal RNA
Source: RNAcentral
GACAGAGGGGGCGAGCGUUGUCCGGAGUCACUGGGCGUAAAGCGUGCGCAGGCGGUAACCUUAGUGUCGUGUGAAAGCCCCCGGCUCAACCGGGGGAGGCCAUGGCAAACUGGGUCGCUCGAGCUGCGGAGAGGCUCCUCGAAUUGCCGGUGUAGCGGUGAAAUGCGUAGAGAUCGGCAGGAAGACCAAGGGGGAAGCCUGGGGGCUGGCCGCAGGCUGACGCUGAGGCGCGACAGCGUGGGGAGCAAACCGU